UGGCACAUUAAUAUUUUCAAGGGUGCAUGAACAACAUCAGCUCAGGUGCUCCUCUUGAAUCAUCGGCUUAUUAUAAAUUAGAUCCCACUGACUUGGUGCAGCCGACCUAGUGUCAGAUUCCUUAGUACUUGCAUAUGCAGUAAAUUGGAAUUCGCCAUGCCUUAAUAGGGAACUAUGCUAAGAAAAAGAAGUAGGAAACACAUUUACACAUUUUAAUAUAACCAAAUAAAUUCCCAGGAUCAACGAACAAGAAAACUUUUUUUUUUCAAUUGGUUCUUGCUAGCCCCCAAAAAACAAAGAGCAAAACUAGAGGCAACUGAAUAGUAGUUUGAAACUGGAGAUGUCAUAAGUUCAAUCACAUACCAAAAGUGAAUACAUACAAAAAGUUAAUAGGAAAACCCUAUAAACAAAUAUUUGAAGUCAACUAGAACACCGCUUAAUUGCCCGACUAAAUACACCGAAUCAAAAUCUAUUAAAGAGUUUGGAUUGACACUUGGAGAUUCUCCAAUCAACUCUUGCUUUCCUGCAAUAUCAUAAUUACAUUUUGAACCCUCAUCCACUUGAUAUUCAAAUAUUUGAUUAGAAUUAUCUUCUUUGUCCCCAUCAUCAUUUUCUACCACAAAAUCAAAUGUAUCACCCUAAAGACCUUCAUGAAAAUUCUGCUCAAUAAGCGUGUCUGCAAAUAAUUUAUG
This 692-nucleotide long non-coding RNA is filed under the name Capsicum annuum. RNAcentral's name for it is "long non-coding RNA (CANN_LNC019372)". Lineage: Eukaryota; Viridiplantae; Streptophyta; Magnoliopsida; Solanales; Solanaceae. The record is from RNAcentral.